GCUUCAAUCUUGCUCUCACAAUUUCAUUCCAUUUCUCACGGUUUCGUUGUUUCCUUUCCACCGCUUCAAUCUUCCUCCAACUAGCUAUAAGACUCCGUCAAACCCCAGAAAGCGUUUUGCUUUUUUCUGCAUCCUCCUUUUUCUCCCUGCUCCUUGCUUUCCCCAACUGGCCCAACCUAGAAUCCUCCUCCUUUCCCCGGAUGAGAAAUCUGAAAUCCACAACCCAAAACUCAAUCAUAGUAGCCCCUGGCUUGCCGCAUUCGUCAUAUCCUGAUGGUUCAUUCUCUCCAUUCGAUUCGAUUUCGAUGAGAUAGUCUACCAAAAGAGUAGGGAGUGCAAAACAGAAGGAUGAAUUAAAUAGUUUACACAACCCCAGCAAAAUUGGAAUGCAUAUUUGCGGUG
RNAcentral lists this small RNA (402 nucleotides) under Malus domestica (apple). Its description in RNAcentral is "sRNA MD09G0190700". Lineage: Eukaryota; Viridiplantae; Streptophyta; Magnoliopsida; Rosales; Rosaceae. The record is from RNAcentral.